Molecule: long non-coding RNA, 2323 nt
Organism: Spinacia oleracea (spinach)
Lineage: Eukaryota; Viridiplantae; Streptophyta; Magnoliopsida; Caryophyllales; Amaranthaceae
Exons: 2
Source: RefSeq, a predicted model, not a curated record
AGCUCAUAUGCAUCUAGAGAUAGAUGCAUACCUAUGCAACCAUUAAUUAUUAAAUUACCCUGAUCCAUGGUAACCUUAUGGUGGACCGAGUCCAUGCAAGCGGAAUUGUAAGAUGUCGCCUCUAAUCAAUCCCUAGUAUUGAUUAUCAACAUUUUAAUUAGAAAACGCCUCAAAGAAACCCAGUAUGAUACAAAGGAAAAAGGCACGCCUUUAUCGGUUUCUUCGUCAUAUUUACACUUAUUGUUGAAACCCUACCUUUCUCCUCCACUGCCGAUUUAUCUCUCCCUUGAGAGGUGCGGCUAAUAAACAAUGGAUGAAUAAUUGGAGUAGUAGUUGGACCUUCAUUGCAUUAGACUAAUCCUCUUCCAGAGCUCGAAUUGUUGGAGCAAGCAAUUGUUUUAGGGUGCUGAUUUAGUUAGGAUUCUCUCCUCCGGCGGCCAAAUCCCACCUCCUCCGACUUUAACGACUACCUCUCCAUCAAUGGCGUCAAGCUCAACGCAUCAACAACUUCCUCAUCUUCGACAACGGAUGUUGAUUUAGUUAGAGUUGAAGUUUAUUGUAAUACCGAAUUAGAUCUCAUCUUGGUCGAGCAAGUGAUAAAUUGAGGAAACAUCAAUCUGACUAUCAGAGGAAGCCUAAACGUAAUUAAGGGAAGUUGAAAAUCAUUUAAAAUUCUAUUUGGGAGUUUGGAACAAAUUCUUAUACUCAAUUGCUCUUGUUAUGAAGACUCUGUUCUGUAGAAACUAGUAAUAAAGCAGGGUACAAAAAAAAAUCAACCUUGCUAAAAUUCAUUAGUUUUUGUUUAGUAUAAAAUCAGAUUAUGUGAAUGAAGUUAUGUUUAGUUUGAUACUGAUUUCAUGUCUCAUAUUUUGAUCGACUUAUGUUUAGUACGAGUAACUAUUUAAGGUUUCUCUAGCUUUUAGUUUAGUUGCGAUGAGUGAUUGAACUGCUAGUCGUGGUAUUAUAGUGUACUUGCUUAUGUGCUUAUUGUUAGCUAACUUUUUUGCUAUUCAUGUUCGUUAAAUUGAUAAGUUGCAAAUGUUCUGAAAACACAAGAACCACAACUGAUUCUUCCGAUUGCUCUUUUUCAUGCUACUACCUUUGGGAUUGGUUACUGGAUAUCCAAACUUCCUUUUGGUGAAUCCACUUCUCAUAAUACUUUUAUAGAAUGUGGAAUGCAGGCAAGUCGCUUCUCCAAAUUUUCUUGAAACUCAACAUAUUCGACAAGUUUUGCUACUUUUUACCUCCAUGAUAUAUGUUUUGUUUUGUAGGGGUCGUAGGGCUACCUAUUCCAUUGGUGGUUUUUUGGUGGGCAUAUGUAUUUAAUACAAUGUUUAUGGGAAUAUGUUACAUAACAUGAAAACUGCAUUGACGCCCUAAACAUGCUUUGACCCCCCCCCGUGUAUGAACGUAUGUUAACUAGCCUUUAGCCAAACUUAAUUUGUCUUUUUAUGUAACUUAUUUGCUGUUUGAAUUACUUUGUACCUAUUUUAGUUUUGAAUUAAGCUAGGAUUAAGGAAAAUAACCAGGAUAAUUCUGAGUUCUAAGAACUAAUGAGUAAUGACCUAUGAAAUGGAUGCAUUGGCCCUAAUUUAAUCCGAACCACUGCUCAAAGUGCUGAACUAAAAUUAAUUUCUAAGGUGAAAAGAAUAAAACAUAAUUUAGUUAAUAUUUCUACAUGCAUGUUGCUGCAGAGUGUUGCACUCGGGUUUUUGUUGGCUCGAAACAUUUAAUGAUCCUAAUUGUUGCCAUCCCUUCAGUUGUGAGCGUGCUUUUCAUGGCGGUUAUGAGUUUUAGUUUUGAAUAUCUCGCUUAAAUUUCAUGUCUUUUCGAACAUGUACAGUCCAGUUACAGUCUUGCAGACAUCAAACUGAACCACUGCUCCCUUCUUUUGUCCUUUGCAGCUCGGUGGUAGUUCUCUUGUUGUUUAUUGGAGAACCAUGGGUCCAUGCAUAUCCCUGUUGAUGACACAAAUGAUUUCAAGGGAUAGAAAAAUCUCGCUUAUGUGCUUAUAUCUUAUAAGUAAUUCAACAUGUGAUGUUUGGAUUUGGCAGCAUAGGGUUUUUGUAAAGAUGCAUUUUGCCGGUGAUAUUUUAUGUUUUUGUUAAUUUAGAUGGUGCUAGUCAGUAGCUUAUCCAUUUGAUAGCGGUAAGUGGAAUUUGAGGGAUUUAGAGUUUUUAGAAUUGACUGAUAUAGCAACAAAAAGCAAUGGAUUUUGACAAAAAUGCAUUUACAUUUUUUGUUGCAUAAACUUUAAACAAUUUGGUGUUGUGUUAUGGGGCAUUUCUGUCUAUUAUUUAAUUUGCCUGGGAUUUUUCUCUGA